GAAUUGCGAUAAGUAAUGUGAAUUGCAGAAUUCAGUGAAUCAUCGAAUCUUUGAACGCACCUUGCACCCUUUGGUAUUCCGAAGGGUAUGCCCGGUUGAGUAUUAUAAUCAACUCAAGCCUCUGAUUUUCUAAUUGCAAAGGCGUGACGACCGACGAAGCCAUUCACAACGGGGUGGUGGUAGUUGGAGUUUUGCUUGGAACUUCAGAGGUAUUGGACUUGAGCGCACGUCGGUUUAAUCUUUAACCGACCCGCUUGAAAUGCAUUAGCUGACGACCGCACGACACGGUUUCACUCGACGCGAUAAGCCUAUUCGUUGAGGACGUGGUUGAGCUUCAAGUCGCUUCUAAUCGUCUUAGGACACCCAUUGAACGUUUAAUCUCAACUCGGGUAGGACUACCCGCUGAACUUAAGCAUAUCAAUAAGCGGAGGAAAAGAAACUAACAAGGAUUCCCUAGUAAC
RNAcentral lists this ribosomal RNA (461 nucleotides) under uncultured Tulasnellaceae. RNAcentral's name for it is "eukaryotic LSU rRNA". The stretch from base 1 to 105 matches the Rfam family "5.8S ribosomal RNA", at positions 50 to 154 of the family's 154-position model. Lineage: Eukaryota; Fungi; Basidiomycota; Agaricomycetes; Cantharellales; Tulasnellaceae. The record is from RNAcentral.